GCCCGGGUGGCGGAACUGGCAGACGCGAGGGACUCAAAAUCCCUUGCCCCUUGCGGGCGUGCGGGUUCAAAUCCCGCCCCGGGCACCA
This 88-nucleotide transfer RNA is filed under the name Desulfurobacterium sp. RNAcentral describes it as "tRNA-Leu". It matches the Rfam family "tRNA". From Rfam's summary of the family: Transfer RNA (tRNA) molecules are approximately 80 nucleotides in length. The record is from RNAcentral. Lineage: Bacteria; Pseudomonadati; Aquificota; Aquificia; Desulfurobacteriales; Desulfurobacteriaceae.